AUUGAACGCUGGCGGCAGGCUUAACACAUGCAAGUCGAGCGGGGUGAUGGUGCUUGCACUAUCACUUAGCGGCGGACGGGUGAGUAAUGCUUAGGAAUCUGCCUGUUAGUGGGGGACAACAUCUCGAAAGGGAUGCUAAUACCGCAUACGUCCUACGGGAGAAAGCAGGGGAUCACUUGUGACCUUGCGCUAAUAGAUGAGCCUAAGUCGGAUUAGCUAGUUGGUGGGGUAAAGGCGUACCAAGGCGACGAUCUGUAGCGGGUCUGAGAGGAUGAUCCGCCACACUGGGACUGAGACACGGCCCAGACUCCUACGGGAGGCAGCAGUGGGGAAUAUUGGACAAUGGGGGGAACCCUGAUCCAGCCAUGCCGCGUGUGUGAAGAAGGCCUUAUGGUUGUAAAGCACUUUAAGCGAGGAGGAGGCUCGUUUGGUUAAUACCCAAGAUGAGUGGACGUUACUCGCAGAAUAAGCGCCGGCUAACUCUGUGCCAGCCGCCGCGGUAA
Molecule: ribosomal RNA, 503 nt
Filed under: uncultured bacterium
Lineage: Bacteria
Description: partial 16S ribosomal RNA
Rfam family: Bacterial small subunit ribosomal RNA
Source: RNAcentral